This 212-nucleotide long non-coding RNA is filed under the name Vitis vinifera (wine grape). RNAcentral's name for it is "long non-coding RNA (VVIN_LNC005061)". The record is from RNAcentral. Lineage: Eukaryota; Viridiplantae; Streptophyta; Magnoliopsida; Vitales; Vitaceae.
GCGGCUCUGAGGUAGGAGGAACAGCAGGUGGGGCAUCAGAUGAUGCUGCCUCUGGUACAGGCUCCGAGGGAGCUGAAGUGGAUGGAGCAGGAGGGACUUCCCUUGGCUCGGGAAGUUCUGGAGAAUGCUGAUGGAGCCAUACCUGAUUCCAUUGUUCAAGAGAGAAGCUCUCUCGACAAUGGCGGCGGGGCUCAGACUGAGGGUCUGCAGGA